Molecule: long non-coding RNA, 2108 nt
Organism: Vidua chalybeata
Lineage: Eukaryota; Metazoa; Chordata; Aves; Passeriformes; Viduidae
Exons: 5
Source: RefSeq, a predicted model, not a curated record
UAGCAGUGUGUGGCCAAACAUCUGUCACCCACAGCACAGGGUCUCCUUCAGUCCUGGCCACAGAGGACAGUCAGUAGCUGGAAACUCUGCAAACCCAAAGCCCGUGGAAUGGAAGGAGUGGAGAGCAAAGCCCUGAAGGCCUGUAAUGCACCAGCAUUCCUGGGAGCUGGAGCAGCACAGGGGUGCUGGAACUAAGCCCAGAGAAGCUCUGCUAUCCCUUCUUGCUCUCCUAACUGCACCCAUCUGACCUGCAGCUGCCCAGAACCAAGCUUUCUUCAGUGCCUCACACUGCCCUUUGAGCCAGGCCUUCAGAUCACUACAGAAUGGCCACCCCGUGUAUUCACAGCAAAAUCUUGUAGGAACUGCACAGACCACCCUGCAAGAGGGAACAGGAGAAUCCCCAGUGACAUCAGUGCCAACACCUUGCCAACUUCCUGGUGGCUGGAGAGAGCCUUUGGCCAGGGAAGCAGGGGACCUUGAGCCUUUAUGUGUGGAAAAAUCCUCUCUGCCUGCUGUCCCUUGCCUGUUCUACAGAGGGCCACCUAAAUGGUCUUGGAUUUUGUCUAGAAGAGUCAGGCAGAGAGCCUCAGGAACAACUCCAGUAUCAAGGGCAUCUUCCAGGACUGUUGCACUGGGAGCACAAUGAUUGCCUUAUCUGCCUGAUGCUGCUCUUCCACGUACACAUUUGUAGGUCAAGGGAUUGGAAGAGAUUUAAAUAGGAGUUCCCAUGGCUCCUGAAAUUAAUACAAAGUCUUAUUUGGCAGACAUUAAUAUAAAGCCUUUCCUGGCUGUUAUAAAAUUCACCACAUUCCAUUCUGGUGGGUCACCUUAGCACUGUGAUCUGAGGGAGGGCAGAAACAGCAGCAAAAAUGCCCACCACGUUUGGGAAUGCCUACCUGGACUCAAACACCUUCAGAGCCUGUUUCCAGAACUGGUGAUGGAUUUAAGUCGCUCAGGAGACAUCCAGCUUGCUCCAGGUGACAUCUUCAAGGUUACAGGAGAAAAAAAAAACCCAACCACGUUUGGCUUCUGUCAGCUGCAAUUUCUGCCCUGUUAGAGUUAGGAAAUGAAAACUUUACCCAUCCCUCCCCCAUGACUGUGCUCAAAACUCCACAAUCUAUUUUCUCUCACUCUUCACCUCUUCUCCUUUAUAUUGGCUGCUUUGCACCAAAAGCCCCACAGAUACAUGCACUUUGACACUUGCAUUUCAAAAUGCCUGAUUGUGGAAUUCUGCCAAUACCAGCAAUUGAUCUGGUGCCACAGACCAGCUUAAUUAUUCAAGGUCAGUCUUCCUCUGUCUCUUCUUGUCCAGGGAGCAGCAGCUAUGGGGAAUAAAACUUGAACAGUCUUUAAAUUUUAAUCAUAAACUUCAGUAAGUCACAGAUUUGUUUUGCUGUAUGUGGGGUUUUCUCUAUUGUACUUGCUGCAACUUUUGCAGCCUCCCUGCUCAGAGCAUGGCUUUCCUGCUCAGUACAACACUGGGCUUUUGUAGAGCACUGUAUUUUACACUGCUAUUUAAAAUGCAUAAGUUGUGUGAUCUAAGCAGUUUCCAGUUCACUUUUGAGCUCCUGUAAAACGUAUCCCUGAAGGCAUUUCAGCUGAGCAGCUAAGAAGGUGAGGGUAUUAGAGGUUGUGAAAUGGCUUGUCUGCUAAUUCUUUCUAUGUGCAUCUCUUCAGAUAAAUCUCCUGUGACCUCCUGCUACAAGCAGAACAUUAGUUAAGUAUCUUCUUGGUAAUGGAGUGUCCUGGACCUGAUCCUGUCUCAUCCUAAGGGCUCUUCACGAUAGCUGGGAAGAUGUUUGCCUGCAGGGGAAUGGCAGAGGUGUCCCUGGAAGCACACGAGGUGCAGGUGGCUUCUCUGAGCAGUGCUGGGCUGGCUCAAGGAGCCCUGUCCAGCCUGUGGGGCACCGAGGGAGCCUGGAGGCUCAGGGGGCUGCACUGCCCCAGGCUGGCUCAUGGAGGGCUAGAGAUCCAUUUACAGCAGCCUUGGGCAUGCCCUGCACAUCAUCUGCCCCGAGCUAUGGGCAAACAGGGAAGCCUUUGGAGCCCUCAGUCCAUCCCUGAAGCAACUUGGAUAACUGACAGAGCCUAAGGAGCUAUAAUUUUAA